This is a non-coding RNA of Triplophysa dalaica, 422 nucleotides long. The record is from the annotation of a RefSeq genome assembly. Lineage: Eukaryota; Metazoa; Chordata; Actinopteri; Cypriniformes; Nemacheilidae.
GUAACACAAAUCUACAGCUCACAUCACAGACAACAUCAACACACAACUGAUCUGACAUCACAAACAUGAACACACACCUGCUUCUCAUCUUCAUCAUAAUUUCAGGUGUGAUGACUGCAGAUCAGAUCGGUCCAAAUAAAGAAUCAAUAAUCAUAAAGCAUGAACAGGAGACUGUAACCUUGAGCUGUUCAUAUGACACAAGCAGCAGUGGAGUUACACUUUACUGGUACAGACAAUAUCCAAACACAGAACUUCAGUAUUUAAUCUGGAAAGAUGCUCGAUCAUGGACUGAUACUGGUACUCCUUCUGAUCCUCGGUUUGAGUCGACUACAUCACCCACAUCCACUGAACUCAUUAUUAACAGCGUGACUCUGUCAGAUUCAGCUCUAUAUUACUGUGCUCUGAGAGUUGGAACCCAGUGA